This is a ribosomal RNA of 402 nucleotides. It matches the Rfam family "Bacterial small subunit ribosomal RNA", at positions 355 to 774 of the family's 1533-position model.
UGGGGAAUAUUGCGCAAUGGAGGCAACUCUGACGCAGCAACGCCGCGUGAAGGAUGAAGGUCUUCGGAUUGUAAACUUCUGUCUUUGAGGACGAUAAUGACGGUACUCAAGGAGGAAGCCACGGCUAACUACGUGCCAGCAGCCGCGGUAAUACGUAGGUGGCAAGCGUUGUCCGGAUUUACUGGGUGUAAAGGGCGUGUAGACGGGUAAAUAAGUUAGAUGUGAAAUGCCGAGGCUCAACCUCGGAGCUGCAUUUAAAACUGUUUAUCUUGAGUGUGGGAGAGGAAAGCGGAAUUCCUAGUGUAGCGGUGAAAUGCGUAGAUAUUAGGAGGAACACCAGUGGCGAAGGCGGCUUUCUGGACCAUAACUGACGUUGAGGCGCGAAAGCGUGGGGAGCAAACA